Molecule: small nucleolar RNA, 74 nt
Filed under: Trachymyrmex septentrionalis
Lineage: Eukaryota; Metazoa; Arthropoda; Insecta; Hymenoptera; Formicidae
Source: RNAcentral
AUAUACAUGAUGACAAUAUAAAAUAUUGAUAAUAUUAUGAUAUUAUUACCACGAGCUUUUUAACACUGAAUGAC